GCCUUUUGGCUCGGUGCACUUCCUGGUUGACGGGCCAACAUCGAUUUUGGCCGGCGGAUAAAGGCUUUGGGAAUGUGGCUCCUCCGGGAGUGUUAUAGCCCAUUGUGUAAUACCCUGUGGUGGACUGAGGUUCGCGCAUCUGCAAGGAUGCUGGCGUAAUGGUCAUCAGCGA
Molecule: ribosomal RNA, 172 nt
Filed under: Hypocreales sp.
Lineage: Eukaryota; Fungi; Ascomycota; Sordariomycetes; Hypocreales
Description: partial large subunit ribosomal RNA
Source: RNAcentral